UACGUAGGGAGCAAGCGUUGUCCGGAAUCAUUGGGCGUAAAGCGCGCGUAGGCGGCCUCAUAAGUCCGUUGUGAAAGUCAAAGGCUCAACCUUUGAAAGCCGAUGGAUACUGUGAGGCUAGAGUCCGGAAGAGGCGAGUGGAAUUCCUGGUGUAGCGGUGGAAUGCCCAGAUAUCAGGAGGAACACCGGUGGCGAAGGCGGCUUUCUGGACAGUAACCGACGCUGAGGCACGAAAGCUAGGGGAGCAAACAGG
RNAcentral lists this ribosomal RNA (253 nucleotides) under uncultured bacterium. RNAcentral's name for it is "partial 16S ribosomal RNA". It matches the Rfam family "Bacterial small subunit ribosomal RNA", at positions 524 to 776 of the family's 1533-position model. The record is from RNAcentral.